CCAGGUGGCUGUACCACUCUGAACGCACCAAUCUCGUCUGAUCUCGGAAGCUAAGCAGGGUCGGGCUUGGUUAGUACUUGGAUGGGAUUCCGCCUGGGAAUACCGGGUGCUGUAGGCU
RNAcentral lists this ribosomal RNA (118 nucleotides) under Myotis davidii. Lineage: Eukaryota; Metazoa; Chordata; Mammalia; Chiroptera; Vespertilionidae. The record is from RNAcentral.